UUCCUUCGAUUACAAUUCCUCUCCACUGAACUUACAACCUUGCGAUAAAUAGUGACUGAAUACUUCCAUACAUCAUCAAUCUUUCAUAACAAUUGAUAAACAAUGAUCCAUAAAUAACUUUGUAAAUCAAACAUUGAUUCAUUAAAUCGAUUCUCUUUACUAGAAUCAAUACUAAUACAAAAGAAAUAAGAAAACUAAGAAGAAGAGAUAGCACCAAGCUUAUCCCCUGCUUAGUACUAUCACAGUUUGGCAUUUUCUUCCUCUCUUCCAUCUUCCUUAUACUACCUCAAGAUACCAACUCCUAUACUAUGGAUGAUAACUACUUUUCUUGACUAUUCAUCUAUUCUAUCUGUUGAACCACCUUUUCAACAGUUAUCUAUCCUUG
RNAcentral lists this long non-coding RNA (385 nucleotides) under Physcomitrium patens. RNAcentral's name for it is "long non-coding RNA (PPAT_LNC014171)". The record is from RNAcentral. Lineage: Eukaryota; Viridiplantae; Streptophyta; Bryopsida; Funariales; Funariaceae.